AUGCUUUCUUUGGCAGCACAUAUACUAAAAUUGGAAUUAUACAGAGAUUAGCAGGAGCUCUGCACAAAGAUAACAUGUAAUUCAUAGUUUUUUAAAUUUUUU
Carlito syrichta (Philippine tarsier) is the source of this 102-nucleotide small nuclear RNA. The record is from Ensembl. NCBI's taxonomy places the organism in Eukaryota, Metazoa, Chordata, Mammalia, Primates, Tarsiidae.